Molecule: ribosomal RNA, 2760 nt
Filed under: Triticum aestivum (bread wheat)
Lineage: Eukaryota; Viridiplantae; Streptophyta; Magnoliopsida; Poales; Poaceae
Description: partial small subunit ribosomal RNA
Source: RNAcentral
AUGUCGUGCUCUAUGCUCGCGCUCAAGCUAACACUCGCGGUAAGCUGCCCGCAAUCACACACAUUUCUCCCCGGAGUUCGAUUCUGGUCGAUCUGCUUGGCUCCAGGUUUCAUCAGCAUCGACUGCGGCAGCCCUCCGAGCGCCGGCUACGUCGACGUCGUCACCUGGCUGCCGUACGUCCCCGACGCGCAGUUCGUGGACGCGGGCGUCAGCCACAACAUCUCCGCCGAGCACGCCGGCAUGAUCGACCUGAAGCUGCCGAGGCUCUACAACGACCUCCGGAGCUUCCCCACCGGCGCCCGGAACUGCUACACCGUGCGCUCCCUGACGCCGGGCACCAAGUACCUGGUCCGCGCCACCUUCCUGCACGGGAACUACGACGGGCUGGGCCCCGGCGGCCUCGCCGUGUUCGACCUCCACCUCGGCGUCAACUUCUGGCAGACGGCGAACGUCUCCAGCGUCUCCGACACCUUCCAGGCGGAGAUCAUCGCCGUCGUGCCCGACGACUACGUCCAGGUCUGCCUCGUCGGCAAGAAGGGGCUCGGCACGCCCUUCAUCUCCGGCCUCGAGCUGCGCCCGCUCCCGGACACGCUAUACCCCGUCGUGGCGAAUGCCUCCCUCUCCAUGGCCGUCCACGGCCGGUACAACCUCGGCCCCGACGACGAGAAGCCGAUCGUGAGGUACCCGUCGCCCCACGACCGCGUCUGGAAGGUGCUAGCGAACCUGCGGUCAUGGAACCCGGCCAACACGACGGGCACGGUGCGCUACGUCGCCGGGGACCAGUUCGAGGUGCCGUCGGCGGUGAUGCAGACGGCCGCCACCGUGGACGACGGCUUCAGCCUGCGGUUCUACUGGGGCGCGUACGAGUCCAACAAGGAGCUGGACUACUUCGCCGUGCUUCACAUGGCCGAGCUCCGGCGGCUCAACGGCAGCGAGGCGAGGAUCUGCGAGGUCUACCUCAACAACGGCCUGUGGUACAGCAAGCCCUUCUCCCCGGAGUUCCGUUACUCCAGCUCAAUGUUCGGGAUGGUGGCAGGGAGUACGGAGUACAGCUUCAGGAUCGAACCGACCGCCAACUCGACGCUGCCGCCAUUGCUCAAUGCGCUGGAGAUCUAUGUCAUGGUGCCUACUGCAGAGCGUGCAACUCAUGGAGGAGAUGUGAGUGCCAUUAUGGCCAUCAAGGCCAAGUAUGAGAUCAAGAGGAACUGGAUGGGUGAUCCGUGUGGCCCCAAGAUAUAUUUGUGGGACGGUGUAGGUUGCAACUAUGCAAUCUCUAGCGCACCAAGAAUCACCUCACUAAACUUGUCCUCCAAUGGGUUGGCUGGAGAAAUCACCACUCUUUUAAGCAAUCUCACUGCUCUUCAGAACCUGGAUUUAUCUCACAACAGUUUGACAGGGAACAUUCCUGAAUUUCUUGCACAACUACCGUCGCUUGCUGUCCUAGAUUUGACCGGCAACAAGUUCAAUGGAUCAGUUCCAGAAAGUCUUCUAAAAAGGUCGCAAGAAGGUGCACUUUCAUUAAGAAUUGAAGCGAACAUAAGCAGCAUCAACAAUGACCAGCCACAAAGAAAAAAACCUACCAAGAUUUCUGCCGUAAAUCUCGCUGUGGCUGCCGUUGUACUUUCUGUACUGGUGGUUGUGGUGGUAACUCUUACACUCUGCCUUCGCAGAAGAAGAACUGAAAAUGAUCUUUCUGUCAGACCGCUGAAUGGAAGUAAAUCAAAAGAAGACAAUGGAGACGCUGUCUCAUUGCAAUUCGAUACCCGCCAGUUCAGUUACAAAGAGCUAAAGACUAUCACAAAUAGCUUCGAGAAGUCCAUUGGCAAAGGUGGGUUCGGAGUAGUCUAUCUUGGCUACUUGGAAGAUGGAACCCCGGUUGCAGUCAAAAUGCGCUCAGAAUCGUCAUCUCAAGGGGUUAAUGAGUUCUUGGCAGAGGCUCUGCAUCUGAUAAGAGUUCAUCACAGGAACUUGGUGAAUCUGGUUGGCCACUGCAAGGAUGGGCAGCACUCAGCUCUUGUGUACGAGUACAUGUCUGAAGGAACUUUACAAGAGAAGCUAAGAGAAAAAUCCCCCAACUCUGUACCUUUAACAUGGCGCCAAAGAUUAAGGAUCUCGCUCGACUCUGCCCAAGGCCUUGAGUACCUGCACAAGGCGUGCACGCCGCCGCUGAUCCACAGGGACGUGAAGGCGGCCAACAUACUCCUGAACGGGAGCAACCUGGAGGCCAAGAUCGCCGACUUCGGCCUGUCCAAGGCCUUCAACAACGACCUCCAGUCCCAUGUCUCCACGCGAGUAGUGGGAACACCCGGAUAUCUCGACCCCGAGUACUACACUUCGUUCCAGCUCAGCGAGAAGAGCGACGUGUACAGCUUCGGGAUCGUGCUGCUGGAGGUGGUCACGGGCCAGCCCCCGAUCCUCCCGGAGAGCGUGCACAUCGUGCAGUGGGCGCGGCAGAGGCUCGCCAAGGGCGACAUCGAGAGCGUCGUGGACGACAACAUGGGGCGGUACGACCUCAACUCCGUCUGGAAGGUCGCCGACCUGGCCCCGAGGUGCACGGAGCAGGCGGCCAGCCAGAGGCCCGCCAUGGCCGACGUCGUCGUCCAGCUCAAGGAGAGCUUGGAGCUGGAAGAAGGCUGCGAGAGGGUGCACGGUUCGUACGCCGGAAGUGGCGACGGGUAUGGGGAAAACAGUGACACUGCAAGCCAGAGUACGCAGAGUGGGAGGGUGCUAGAUCUGGUGAGUGGCCCCGCAGCUAGAUAA